GAGAAGCAAGACCGUGAGGUGGAGCAAAACUCAAAAACUUGUCUCAGUUCGGAUUGUAGGCUGAAACUCGCCUACAUGAAGCUGGAGUUGCUAGUAAUCGCGAAUCAGCAUGUCGCGGUGAAUACGUUCCCGGGCCUUGUACACACCGCCCGUCACACCAUGAGAGUUGGCAAUACCCAACGUACGUGAUCUAACCCGCAAGGGAGGAAGCGUCCUAAGGUAGGGUCAGCGAUUGGGGUGAAGUCGUAACAAGGUAUC
Molecule: ribosomal RNA, 258 nt
Filed under: uncultured bacterium
Lineage: Bacteria
Description: partial 16S ribosomal RNA
Rfam family: Bacterial small subunit ribosomal RNA
Source: RNAcentral